Molecule: long non-coding RNA, 3711 nt
Organism: Mustela lutreola (European mink)
Lineage: Eukaryota; Metazoa; Chordata; Mammalia; Carnivora; Mustelidae
Exons: 2
Source: RefSeq, a predicted model, not a curated record
CCGGGCGGGGACGGAGAGCCGCCCUGACGCACGACGACGGCCGGAACGACCCGCGCCUGCGCACACAGCAACAGAGCCGGCGGGCCUCGGACGACUACACGUCCCAGGAGCCACCGCGGCCCCCGGGGGGUGGCAGGGCCGCCCUCACCCGCGACGCCUGCCGGAACGCCCCGCGCCUGCGCAUUCAGCGCGGGUGCCGGUGUGCGCCGCGGUCCCAGGACCCGCCGCGGCCCGGCUGUGAGGUCCUUCACACUCGGGGACUCCUGGAGCGCCCCGCGGGGGACUGAAUGGCGCCUCGAGACAGAUGCCCUUGGCCUGUUACGACUCCCAGAAAGCCCCAUGCCCGCAGCCGAGACCUAGAGCCUAAGCAGGAGCGGAGAGACCCGCGGCGCGCAGCUGUGGCAGCCCGAGUCCCCGCGUGAGGGACCGCGGUCGCGACAGACCGGCGCGUCCGGCCGGCGAAGGCCCCCGUGGGCGGGCCCAGGCGCUGCAGCCCCGGGGCGGGCCCCGCUCCUCGUUCUCGCGGCUCCGAGCCGCCCGGACGCCUCCGGAAAGCGGAGCUGGAAUGGCGGCCCCGCCAGACCGACCUGGGAGCUCCUUUCCUCCGUGCGCCGCGGGGUGCGGUGCUGGCCGGCCCGGCCCGCCCAGACGGGCUCGGAGCCCCGGUGCGGCGGGAGGACGACCUGUCCAGCUCCACGUGCAGGUUCGCGGGAGGCGGCCCUCGGGGACGGGGAGCGCGUGGCCGGUGGAGGGAGCGGCGUCUGCGGACACGUCCGUGCCGGCAAGUGGCAGGAGCGAGGGAAGAAGGGAGUCCGCGGCUGGUCCGUCCCGGGGCCCUGGGGUCGUGACCCGAGCCGAAGGCAGUCGCCCAACCCGCCGGGCCACCCAGGCGCCCGUCAGCUUUCCCCUUCCGAGCUGACAUUACCAGUCCGGGUGUCCGCCGACAGGUGCACGGGUGGACACGCCGCGGCCCACCGCCCCUCGGGACGGCUGUGAAAACGGCCCCGACGACGUGACACGGCGUACACAGGUCACUGGGUGCGCGACUCCAUUGCCACGAAGCUGCAGCACCGGUAGGAGACCCGUGGUCGGGGUCCUGCUGGGAGUGGAAUCGGACUGGGACGUCCUCCGCGGCGGCCGGGGGCAGUGACCUGGGCGUGGCCAUUACUCAGAACCGGGCGCUUCGGCUCAGUAUUCAGUAGGUGCAUUUUGUCCAACUUUCAUCAAUAAAAUGUAUUUCUAAAACGGGGUUUUGAAGAAGGAAUGAAAGUGAAGAGACUAAAACUGGUUAAAGGACACCGAAACCGAAACCGAACCACAGAGCCUGCCUACCGCCCCGGAAGGCGGCCGUUGCUGCGGAGGCUGCGCUGGGUUAGGGUCAGUCGCAACUGCUGCAUCAGAAGUAGGGCCAGCAGGUGUCCGGGGAAGCGCACACCUGCGAGGCCCGCCGUCUGUGCCAGUGACCGGAAGAAAGCCAGGACACCCCUUUAAGUAAAGGGCAAGUUAGUCAAGUCCACACGGCACCCCACACCGAGGGACAGUGCCUCGUGGGCCUCUCUGAAGUUGGAAGGCACCGGGCAGGGCUCCCCACGGCCGUAGUUGGUAAAGCGUCCGAUGUGGACGGCACCGGGAGCACCAGAGCUCCGCGGCCAGCACGGGGUGGGUGUGAGGCUUCCUCGGCUGAGCUCCCGAGCAGCAGAGGCCUAGCUGUGGGAAGCACCCAAGGCCGAGCGGGAUGCCCUCGGGAGUCUCGCAGCUCCGAAGAGCUCUCCGGUUCUGUAGCAAAGCCCGGUUUCGGGGAUAGAAAAGCAGAGUCUCCCACACCACAGGGCCCUCACGGAGCCUGCACCCGUCCCCAGCAUGUGAUUUUGUAACUGGUCCGAGGGGCCCCGCCAGGGUCGCGGUUGGCUGCUGAAUUCAUUGUACUGUGGAACGAUUCAUCUGGUGCCAGGCCCCGGGGAGCGCCUAAAGCCCAGCGCAAGAGGAAGUAACUCACAGAUGCAUCAUGUAUGGUCUGGAAGGACUGCGGACUCACGGGAGCCCCUCCGUUGGUGGAGCCCCCGAGAGAACCCUGGCCAGUGGUCCAAGCUAUGAGCAGUGCCCUGAGGCAUGUACAUCACAGAUGGAGGGACGGUUGGAAGCCCCGAGACGCACAGAUAUCCCGGCAGAGGUGACUCACUUGGCUGGUUGGUAGGAUCCCGACGGGAACAAAGCCAACAGGGACGGGACGAGGAAGUCAGGGAAGGGGAACGUGGCUGAACUCUGCGCUCGGGCAGUGGGCAUGAAGCAGGUGGAAUUUUAGAUCUCGCAUGAAUGCCUAGGACGGUCAGAGAAAGCAGACGGGAGCAGUGUGACUCUUGCACAUACUGGCUAGCCUCAGGUCCAGUGGGCCACUUGAAGGCACAGUAAGUAUAAUAAUGGGCUCCUGGUCAUGGCGAAACCCUUGAGUGUUAUUCGGUUACCCAGAAGCAGUCAGCCUGACAGAUGGUAAGAUGCUCUAUUGAUGAUUCCUCAGUUUACAGCAUGUACUUCUGACCCAAUUAUUGGGUCGAUACUUAAGGAUUUCCAGCUUCUACGUUUUUGAUUAUAGAGAUAAGAUUUUCUAAGCUAUUUUGGCCCUGUAGACCCCAGGAUCAAUUAGCCGCUUCCAGAGUUGCCUGCAUGGACAGCAGUUUCAGUUACCAUGCUGACCUUAAGCCUACCACAGUAACCCUGCCAUCUUGUCUCCCUAAAUUAAAUUCUGCUACUAGGCCUGUUCUACCACAGAACCCUGGAGUCUCCUUUCAUAUCAGGAACCUGACUUUGGGGCACCCUUGGCCCCAAGCAUAGCAAUUAGCACAUUUUUACAGGAUGCUGGUGCUUCUCUUACCCACUAAUUUCUCAGUGCCCCUCUUGAAGGUCAAGAUUGGGGAAACUGGUGAGUGCAUUACCCAUAACAGACCUACAGCAUCUUAUUUCCUUAAAUCCCUAUACUAUGCCAAGGAGUUCCUGACCUCCUGCCUUUGUGUUGGCCUCUGUUAAGUCCAGGAUUUCAGAAAAUCAACUGAACACAAAUACUGAUGGCUCAACAAAAUCAAGACCUUAUUUCAUAAAAGCUGACAAAUGGGCAAAUUUAUGCCAAGAUGGAAUGAGAAUAAAAGAGAAUUCACAAAUAUAAAUGAAAAGUUCAGUGUGACUACAGAGGAGAUCCAAAGUCAGCAUUUAUCAUUUUAAUUAUAAUUAAAAUUAUAUUUUAUAUUUUUAUAUUAUAUUUUUAUUUAUAUAUUAAAUAUAUUUAUAAUAUAUUUAUUUUAUAUUAUAUUUUUAUAUAUUUAUAUUUUAUAUUAUAUUUUAUAUAAUUAUAAUUCCGUAAACGUAAAUUGCCGCAGACAACAGCUUACCAAAACUCCCUGAAUCGUAUGUAUAGAGCAAAGCAAGUCACAUGCUAUCUUCCACAGUAAGCUGCUCACCUUCUCAGGGCUUAUAACCUUGUUCCUGGAAUGUACUUGGGGUAUUGGGACCUCCAACAUGCCAGCCCCUUCUCCACCAUCUCACUGGAUGGGCUUGAUUUCACUGGUACCGGACCAUGUGCAGAUAGCCUGGACCGACCUCUGUGGACUGUGAUGGCAGCCCUGGGGCAAACCGUGAUGUGUGAUGUGGUCUGCUCAAUGCUGAUACAGACAUCUGAUCUCUUCCUGAGUGGGAUAAAAAGAAUGCAUUUGUCGAAUCAAA